Molecule: transfer RNA, 72 nt
Filed under: Stegodyphus mimosarum
Lineage: Eukaryota; Metazoa; Arthropoda; Arachnida; Araneae; Eresidae
Rfam family: tRNA
About the family: Transfer RNA (tRNA) molecules are approximately 80 nucleotides in length. Their secondary structure includes four short double-helical elements and three loops (D, anti-codon, and T loops).
Source: Rfam by way of RNAcentral
ACCUUCGUGGUGUAACGGUAGCACAUUCGGAGUGUAUUCGAGAGAUCCAGGGUUCGAGUCCCAGUGAGGGCA